RNAcentral lists this ribosomal RNA (1349 nucleotides) under uncultured bacterium. Its description in RNAcentral is "partial 16S ribosomal RNA". It matches the Rfam family "Bacterial small subunit ribosomal RNA", at positions 28 to 1381 of the family's 1533-position model. The record is from RNAcentral.
GACGAACGCUGGCGGCGUGCUUAACACAUGCAAGUCGAACGGAAAGGCCCUGCUUUUGUGGGGUGCUCGAGUGGCGAACGGGUGAGUAACACGUGAGUAACCUGCCCUUGACUUUGGGAUAACUUCAGGAAACUGGGGCUAAUACCGGAUAGGAGCUCCUGCUGCAUGGUGGGGGUUGGAAAGUUUCGGCGGUUGGGGAUGGACUCGCGGCUUAUCAGCUUGUUGGUGGGGUAGUGGCUUACCAAGGCUUUGACGGGUAGCCGGCCUGAGAGGGUGACCGGCCACAUUGGGACUGAGAUACGGCCCAGACUCCUACGGGAGGCAGCAGUGGGGAAUAUUGCACAAUGGGCGGAAGCCUGAUGCAGCAACGCCGCGUGCGGGAUGACGGCCUUCGGGUUGUAAACCGCUUUCGCCUGUGACGAAGCGUGAGUGACGGUAAUGGGUAAAGAAGCACCGGCUAACUACGUGCCAGCAGCCGCGGUGAUACGUAGGGUGCGAGCGUUGUCCGGAUUUAUUGGGCGUAAAGGGCUCGUAGGUGGUUGAUCGCGUCGGAAGUGUAAUCUUGGGGCUUAACCCUGAGCGUGCUUUCGAUACGGGUUGACUUGAGGAAGGUAGGGGAGAAUGGAAUUCCUGGUGGAGCGGUGGAAUGCGCAGAUAUCAGGAGGAACACCAGUGGCGAAGGCGGGUCUCUUGGGCCUUUUCCUGACGCUGAGGAGCGAAAGCGUGGGGAGCGAACAGGCUUAGAUACCCUGGUAGUCCACGCUGUAAACGGUGGGUACUAGGUGUGGGGUCCAUUCCACGGGUUCCCGUGCCGUAGCUAACGCUUUAAGUACCCCGCCUGGGGAGUACGGCCGCAAGGCUAAAACUCAAAGGAAUUGACGGGGCCCCGCACAAGCGGCGGAGCAUGCGGAUUAAUUCGAUGCAACGCGUAGAACCUUACCUGGGUUUGACAUGGAUCGGGAGUGCUCAGAGAUGGGUGUGCCUCUUUUGGGGUCGGUUCACAGGUGGUGCAUGGCUGUCGUCAGCUCGUGUCGUGAGAUGUUGGGUUAAGUCCCGCAACGAGCGCAACCCUUGUUCACUGUUGCCAGCACGUUAUGGUGGGGACUCAGUGGAGACCGCCGGGGUCAACUCGGAGGAAGGUGGGGAUGACGUCAAGUCAUCAUGCCCCUUAUGUCCAGGGCUUCACGCAUGCUACAAUGGCUGGUACAGAGAGUGGCGAGCCUGUGAGGGUGAGCGAAUCUCGGAAAGCCGGUCUCAGUUCGGAUUGGGGUCUGCAACUCGACCUCAUGAAGUCGGAGUCGCUAGUAAUCGCAGAUCAGCAACGCUGCGGUGAAUACAAUCCCGGGGCU